Molecule: ribosomal RNA, 253 nt
Filed under: uncultured bacterium
Lineage: Bacteria
Description: partial 16S ribosomal RNA
Rfam family: Bacterial small subunit ribosomal RNA
Source: RNAcentral
UACGUAUGGUGCGAGCGUUAUCCGGAUUUACUGGGUGUAAAGGGAGCGCAGGCGGCACGGCAAGCCUGAUGUGAAAGCCCGCGGCCCAACCGCGGGACUGCAUUGGGAGCUACCGGGCUGGAGUGCCGGAGAGGUAGGCGGAAUUCCUAGUGUAGCGGUGAAAUGCGUAGAUAUCAGGAGGAACACCGGUGGCGAAGGCGGCCUGCUGGACUGCAACUGACGUUGAGGCCCGAAAGCGUGGGGAGCAAACAGG